Molecule: ribosomal RNA, 253 nt
Filed under: uncultured bacterium
Lineage: Bacteria
Description: partial 16S ribosomal RNA
Rfam family: Bacterial small subunit ribosomal RNA
Source: RNAcentral
UACGGAGGGUGCGAGCGUUGUCCGGAAUCACUGGGCGUAAAGGGCGCGUAGGCGGCGCGACAAGUCAAUGGUGAAAGCCCGAGGCUCAACUUCGGGUCGGCCACUGAUACUGUUGGGCUUGAGCACUGUAGAGGCAGGUGGAAUUCCGGGUGUAGCGGUGAAAUGCGCAGAUAUCAGGAGGAACACCGGUGGCGAAGGCGGGUCUCUGGGCCGAUACUGACGCUGAGGUGCGAAAGCGUGGGGAGCAAACAGG